GGUAAACCUGCGGAAGGAUCAUU
RNAcentral lists this ribosomal RNA (23 nucleotides) under uncultured Melampsora. RNAcentral's name for it is "partial 18S ribosomal RNA". Lineage: Eukaryota; Fungi; Basidiomycota; Pucciniomycetes; Pucciniales; Melampsoraceae. The record is from RNAcentral.